GUGGGGAAUAUUGCGCAAUGGCCGAAAGGCUGACGCAGCGACGCCGCGUGGGGGAUGAAGCAUUUCGGUGUGUAAACCCCUGUUGCUCGGGACGAACAACUGGAUUCUUCCAGUCUGACGGUACCGGGUGAGGAAGCACCGGCUAACUCCGUGCCAGCAGCCGCGGUAAUACGGAGGGUGCGAGCGUUGUCCGGAAUCACUGGGCGUAAAGGGCGCGUAGGUGGUCUGCUAAGCGUGUGGUGAAAGCUCGGGGCUCAACCCCGAGUCUGCCAUGCGAACUGGUGGACUUGAGCACUGUAGAGGCAGGUGGAAUUCCGGGUGUAGCGGUGGAAUGCGUAGAGAUCCGGAAGAACACCGGUGGCGAAGGCGGCCUGCUGGGCAGUUGCUGACACUGAGGCGCGACAGCGUGGGGAGCAAACAGGAUUAGAAACCCCAGUAGUCC
This 442-nucleotide ribosomal RNA is filed under the name uncultured bacterium. RNAcentral's name for it is "bacterial SSU rRNA". It matches the Rfam family "Bacterial small subunit ribosomal RNA", at positions 354 to 796 of the family's 1533-position model. The record is from RNAcentral.